This 228-nucleotide ribosomal RNA is filed under the name uncultured bacterium. RNAcentral's name for it is "partial 16S ribosomal RNA". It matches the Rfam family "Bacterial small subunit ribosomal RNA", at positions 118 to 348 of the family's 1533-position model. The record is from RNAcentral.
UGAGCAACCUACCCUUGACUCUGGAAUAACAGCUGGAAACAGCUGCUAAUACCGGAUAUGACCUCUUUAGACAUCUGAUGAGGUGGAAAGCUCCGGCGGUCAGGGAUGGGCUCGCGGCCUAUCAGCUAGUUGGUGAGGUAACGGCUCACCAAGGCUUCGACGGGUAGCCGGCCUGAGAGGGCGACCGGCCACACUGGGACUGAGAUACGGCCCAGACUCCGUAGGAGG